CGGACGGGUGAGUAAUGCUUGGGAAUCUGGCUUAUGGAGGGGGAUAACUACGGGAAACUGUAGCUAAUACCGCGUAGUAUCGGGAGAUGAAAGUGUGGGACCGCAAGGCCACAUGCCAUAAGAUGAGCCCAAGUGGGAUUAGGUAGUUGGUGGGGUAAAGGCCUACCAAGCCGACGAUCUCUAGCUGGUCUGAGAGGAUGACCAGCCACACUGGAACUGAGACACGGUCCAGACUCCUACGGGAGGCAGCAGUGGGGAAUAUUGCACAAUGGGGGGAACCCUGAUGCAGCCAUGCCGCGUGAAUGAAGAAGGCCUUCGGGUUGUAAAGUUCUUUCGGUGAUGAGGAAGGCAGUUGUUUUAAUAGAACAAUUGAUUGACGUUAGUCACAGAAGAAGCACCGGCUAACUCCGUGCCAGCAGCCGCGGUAAUACGGAGGGUGCAAGCGUUAAUCGGAAUGACUGGGCGUAAAGGGCACGCAGGCGGUGACUUAAGUGGGAUGUGAAGGCCCCGGGCUUAACCUGGGAAUUGCAUUUCAGACUGGGUCGCUAGAGUAUUUUAGGGAGGGGUAGAAUUCCACGUGUAGCGGUGAAAUGCGUAGAGAUGUGGAGGAAUACCGAAGGCGAAGGCAGCCCC
Molecule: ribosomal RNA, 633 nt
Filed under: uncultured Actinobacillus sp.
Lineage: Bacteria; Pseudomonadati; Pseudomonadota; Gammaproteobacteria; Pasteurellales; Pasteurellaceae
Description: bacterial SSU rRNA
Rfam family: Bacterial small subunit ribosomal RNA
Source: RNAcentral